CCGUGCAGCUGGGGAGUUAGCGGCGUCCUGUACCUGCAAUCCGCUAUAGCAGGAGUGAUGGUUGGCCCCGGAUGUUCUGUGGAUGGAGCUGCCCUUUAUAAGUGGUGUUGACAAUUGGGUCUUGCGCAACAGAGACCUUUGAACCGUGUCAGGUCGGGAACGAAGCAGCACUAAGAAGUGUUUUUCUGUGUGCCGCAAGGGUGCCUGGUUCGAGCUAACUGUAGAGGUAACGUCUGUUGACAGUCGUACAAAGCCAACCGCACGG
RNAcentral lists this signal recognition particle RNA (265 nucleotides) under Eubacteriales bacterium. Its description in RNAcentral is "signal recognition particle sRNA large type". It matches the Rfam family "Bacterial large signal recognition particle RNA". Rfam says of the family: The signal recognition particle (SRP) is a universally conserved ribonucleoprotein involved in the co-translational targeting of proteins to membranes. Archaeal SRP consists of a 7S RNA and homologues of the eukaryotic SRP19 and SRP54 proteins. In most bacteria, the SRP consists of a 4.5S RNA and the Ffh protein (a homologue of the eukaryotic SRP54 protein). Lineage: Bacteria; Bacillati; Bacillota; Clostridia; Eubacteriales. The record is from RNAcentral.